This is a non-coding RNA of Schizosaccharomyces pombe (fission yeast), 365 nucleotides long. NCBI's taxonomy places the organism in Eukaryota, Fungi, Ascomycota, Schizosaccharomycetes, Schizosaccharomycetales, Schizosaccharomycetaceae. The record is from the annotation of a GenBank genome assembly.
AAAGCUUGCCAUUAAACAAAGACAGUUGGUUACGAAGCAAUCAGAUCGUGCAACAAUCGUUUAGGUGGUUUGAUGAAUAUUUCUGUUUCUCUCAACAAAAUUUUGUUUGCUGACCAGUUUAAAAUAAAAUAUACUUACAGGAUCAAUCCAUGUGAGAAACUUCAUAAAUUACAAGACAAUUAGCUCUCAAAUUUACUUUAAAAUGCUCCACGUUUCCACUUCGGCACAGUGAUUUAUCGUUAAAAAAAAAAAAAUUUCCAAUCCAACUUUUAAUUACUUGUCUGAUUCUAAUUUUACCAACAAAAGAAUACGACUAUAACGGAUAACUAGGGCUGUUUUUAUAUCCAGUAUUGCUAAAAUAGCUU